GCCCGCUCCUGGCUCCUUUGAUAAGCGCUGGCAGGGUGGGAAUCCCUCCGAGGCUCUGUAGGACGAAACCUCCGUGGUGCCUGGAGUGAUUAGCCUAUCAGAGGGCCCGAGGGAAGAGGCAACGAUUCGAGUUCCAGCCGAGAGGAAGAAUUGUCUAGGGCGUAAGAAUCCAAAAGGAAAGUCAAGUCCCUCUGAUACCACACUGUGAGUCUCUGAAAAGAGUAAAAGACGAAAGCUGUA
Non-coding RNA from Microcebus murinus (gray mouse lemur), 240 nucleotides. Lineage: Eukaryota; Metazoa; Chordata; Mammalia; Primates; Cheirogaleidae. The record is from RefSeq and is a predicted model, not a curated record.